UUUCUGCGCGAAGAGGAAGGACGGUGCCGCAGGAAGAAGUCUCGGCAAACUACGGGCCAGCAGCCGCGGUAAAACGUAGGAGCCGAGCGUUAUCCGGGAAUUUACUGGGUGUAAAGCGCGUGCAGGCGGUCAUGUAAGUGGUGCGUGAAGCGCCCCGGCUCCAACCCGGGCGAGGCCGUGCCAAACUGCGUGACUGGAGGCAGGUAGAGGCGCGUGGAAUUCCGGGUGUAGUGGUGAAAUGCGUAGAUAUCCGGAGGAACACCAGUGGCGAAGGCGGCGCGCUGGGCCUGACCUGACGCUAAGACGCGAAAGCAUGGGGAGCGAACGGGAUUAGAAACCCCGGUAGUCCAUGCUGUAAACGCUGCAGACUAGGUGUUGCGUGCGACGAGUAUGCAGUGCCGAAGCCAACGUGAUAAGUCUGCCACCUGGGGACUACGGCCGCAAGGUUAAAACUCAAAGGAAUUGACGGGGGCCCGCACAAGCAGCGGAGCGUGUGGUUUAAUUCGAGGCUACACGAAGAACCUUACCUGGGCUUGACAUGGCGGUGGUAGGGAACCGAAAGGGGACCGACCUUCGGGAGCCGUCACAGGUGCUGCAUGGCUGUCGUCAGCUCGUGUCGUGAGAUGUUCGGUUAAGUCCGGUAACGAGCGCAACCCUCGCCGCUAGUUACAAGUGUCUAGCGGGACUGCCCGUUGAACGCGGGAGGAAGGUGGGGAUGACGUCAAGUCAGCAUGGCCUUUAUGUCCAGGGCUGCACACACGCUACAAUGGCCGGUACAAUGGGUCGCCAACCCGCGAGGGGGAGCCAAUCCAUCAAAGCCGGUCUCAGUUCGGAUUGCAGGCUGCAACCCGCCUGCAUGAAGUCGGAGUUGCUAGUAACCGCAGGUCAGCUAUACUGCGGUGAUACGUUCCCGGGCCUUGUACA
Molecule: ribosomal RNA, 924 nt
Filed under: uncultured organism
Description: bacterial SSU rRNA
Rfam family: Bacterial small subunit ribosomal RNA
Source: RNAcentral